GCGGCGAUAGCAUAAGGGUAGUGCAUCCGUUAUUCCAAACGGAGGGCGGCGGUUCGAGUCCGACCUCGCCGCUCCA
This 76-nucleotide transfer RNA is filed under the name Patescibacteria group bacterium. RNAcentral's name for it is "tRNA-Gly". It matches the Rfam family "tRNA". From Rfam's summary of the family: Transfer RNA (tRNA) molecules are approximately 80 nucleotides in length. The record is from RNAcentral.